UACGAAGGGGGCUAGCGUUGUUCGGAAUUACUGGGCGUAAAGCGCACGCAGGCGGUCGCGCGCGUGGGGUGUGAAAUCUGGCCGCUUAACGGCCAGGCGCCAUCCCAUACGGCGCGACUGGAGUGAUGCAGAGGUCGAUGGAAUUGCCGGUGUAGUGGUGAAAUGCGUAGAGAUCGGCAGGAACGCCCAGGGGGAAACCAGUCGACUGGGCAUCUACUGACGCUGAGGUGCGAGAGCGUGGGGAGCGAACCGG
This 253-nucleotide ribosomal RNA is filed under the name uncultured bacterium. RNAcentral's name for it is "partial 16S ribosomal RNA". It matches the Rfam family "Bacterial small subunit ribosomal RNA", at positions 524 to 776 of the family's 1533-position model. The record is from RNAcentral.